This is a long non-coding RNA of Cucumis sativus (cucumber), 467 nucleotides long. RefSeq lists it as uncharacterized. The record is from RefSeq and is a predicted model, not a curated record. The transcript is spliced from 2 exons. Lineage: Eukaryota; Viridiplantae; Streptophyta; Magnoliopsida; Cucurbitales; Cucurbitaceae.
AAACAAAAAUUAGCUCUUCACCUAGCUAACUCCAUCAUCUAUGCUUAUUAAAUGCCCCAAAAAAUGGCUUCCCCUUGGAGAAUUCCCCUUUUGUUGAAGCUUCUUUUCUUUUCUUUGCUUCUCAUUUUCUCUACUGUUUCUACAACCAACAACGUCGUCCAGCCCCUGUUCCACAAACCUCGCAUUCGUAAGAUUGGUGUGGAUAAGAAAACUAAUGAUGGGAAGGCUGGUGUUGUACCAAGAGUAAUAAAACCAACUUCUGAAGAUUUCCCAUGGGGAGGAGGUUAUAUUCAUCCACACUUAAGCAACCCAUGAUCACAUUAAUUUUAAACUAUGUUUGGUUUAAAUCAAGCUCUGUAAUUUGUUUUUAUUUGGUUGGUGGUGUUGACUUUUUUUGAAGCAUCAAUCUCAUCUUCUUAACCCUACUCUAUAUAUAUAUAUAUAUAUUAAUUGUUUUUUCUCUCUCA